RNAcentral lists this ribosomal RNA (1220 nucleotides) under Stheneboea cf. tuberculata SB0465. Its description in RNAcentral is "SSU rRNA". It matches the Rfam family "Eukaryotic small subunit ribosomal RNA", at positions 682 to 1820 of the family's 1831-position model. Lineage: Eukaryota; Metazoa; Arthropoda; Insecta; Phasmatodea; Lonchodidae. The record is from RNAcentral.
ACGCUGUCGGUUCACCGUUCGUCGGUGUUUAACUGGCAUGCUUGUGCGGACGUCCUGCCGGUGGAUGCGGUCGGCCGUGGACUUCGGUCUGCGUGUCGGCGGUCCUGUGGAAUCCUACCGCGGUGCUCUUCAACGAGUGUCGAGGUGGGCCGGCACAUUUACUUUGAACAAAUUAGAGUGCUUAAAGCAGGCAGUGGUGCGCCUGAAUAUUGUGUGCAUGGAAUAAUGGAAUAGGACCUCGGUUCUAUUUUGUUGGUUUUCGGAACAUGAGGUAAUGAUUAAGAGGGACAGACGGGGGCAUUCGUAUUGCGACGUUAGAGGUGAAAUUCUUGGAUCGUCGCAAGACGGACUAAAGCGAAAGCAUUUGCCAUGGAUGUUUUCAUUAAUCAAGAACGAAAGUUAGAGGUUCGAAGGCGAUCAGAUACCGCCCUAGUUCUAACCAUAAACGAUGCCAGCUAGCGAUCCGCCGGAGUUCCUCUGAUGACUCGGUGGGCAGCUUAUGGGAAACCAAAGCUUUCUGGUUCCGGGGGAAGUAUAGUUGCAAAGCUGAAACUUAAAGGAAUUGACGGAAGGGCACCACCAGGAGUGGAGCCUGCGGCUUAAUUUGACUCAACACGGGAAACCUCACCAGGCCCGGACACCGGAAGGAUUGACAGAUUUAGAGCUCUUUCUUGAUUCGGUGGGUGGUGGUGCAUGGCCGUUCUUAGUUGGUGGAGUGAUUUGUCUGGUUAAUUCCGAUAACGAACGAGACUCUGGCCUACUAAAUAGUCGCUUCCGGUAUAGUGGUGCUACCGGCGACAAAUGAUCUUCUUAGAGGGACAAGUGGCUUCUAGCCACACGAGAAUGAGCAAUAACAGGUCUGUGAUGCCCUUAGAUGUUCUGGGCCGCACGCGCGCUACAAUGAAGGAAUCAGCUUGUACUCCUAGCCCGAAAGGGCCGGGUAACCUGUUGAACCUCCUUCGUGAUGGGGACUGGGGCUUGCAACUGCAACCCAUGAACGAGGAAUUCCCAGUAAGCGCGAGUCAUAAGCUUGCGUUGAUUACGUCCCUGCCCUUUGUACACACCGCCCGUCGCUACUACCGAUUGAAUGGUUUAGUGAGGUCUUCGGACAGGCACGCGACGGCUCAUGUGGAGCUGGAGAUGUUGCCCGAAAGUUGACCAAACUUGAUCAUUUAGAGGAAGUAAAAGUCGUAACAAGGUUUCCGUAGGUGAACCUGCGG